GAUGAACGCUAGCUACAGGCUUAACACAUGCAAGUCGAGGGGCAGCACUAGGUAGCAAUACUGAGGUGGCGACCGGCGCACGGGUGCGUAACGCGUAUCCAACCUUCCCGUUACUCUUGGAUAGCCUUCCGAAAGGGGAGAUUAAUACCUGAUGGUGUUCAAAUUCCGCAUGUUAUUUGAACUAAAGAUUCAUCGGUAACGGAUGGGGAUGCGUGACAUUAGAUAGUAGGCGGGGUAACGGCCCACCUAGUCUACGAUGUCUAGGGGUUCUGAGAGGAAGGUCCCCCACACUGGUACUGAGACACGGACCAGACUCCUACGGGAGGCAGCAGUGAGGAAUAUUGGUCAAUGGGCGGGAGCCUGAACCAGCCAAGUCGCGUGAGGGAAGACGGUCCUAUGGAUUGUAAACCUCUUUUGUCGGGGAGCAAAGAAGUCACGUGUGACUAAAAGCGAGAGUACCCGAAGAAAAAGCAUCGGCUAACUCCGUG
This 488-nucleotide ribosomal RNA is filed under the name uncultured bacterium. Its description in RNAcentral is "bacterial SSU rRNA". It matches the Rfam family "Bacterial small subunit ribosomal RNA", at positions 28 to 507 of the family's 1533-position model. The record is from RNAcentral.